AGUGCAGUUCUUUUUGUCUUGUUUUUAUCUGCACGCCAUUGUUUGUGUGUGCGCGCGCGAAGUCUCGUUCACACCAUCCAUUUUCUCUCCCCUACACACACACACACACAGGCGCACGCGCGCUCCCGCACACGCGGCGUUCCGUUUGUAGUCCUCCCUGAUCGAGAGGGUACAAGAGACGGCAAAUAGACGAGAUCGCAGAUCCGAACGUCCUCGAGGAGACGCGCGAUCGACAUAGUUGUGGUGCUUGUGCAAGAGGUGGCUUAGCGCGUUUCACUGUGUUCACACAGGAAGGAGUGCACUCGCCGCCGCGAUUCGCACACAGAGCUGUGUGCGUUCGCGUGCGUUCAACUCGUUAACGUGCGUGCUUACGCUGCGGCUCUGUAUGCUGCAAAGCCGUCCCACGGAUCCCUCUCAUUGUAUAGAUAUACAUAGCGAGGUGAACGGUCUCCUUGGAGAGUGGACGCUUACGUCCGCCGAUCGGCGUCUGCCCCUUGCGACCUCGUCUGCUUUCACACCUCCUCUCCUUCUUCCUCUUCCACAGCCAUUCAGUGAGCCUUCGUUAGCCUCCCAAAGAGUUUCCGUCUCAUGUCUCAUCAAGGGUUUUCUUUAACGUUUUAUCUUUGCCUCGUUUUCACAGACGUUCAGAUCGAACGCGAAAAAAAAAACGACGAUAUCAGGCUCAACCGCCAAACUGCGUGCAUUGAUAAACCCUGCGGUGCUCUUUCCUUUUCAUUGCGGAUUCCUGCUUUCACGCACAACUUCUCAGCUCCCUUCGGUGUCUCUUCCCCCCCCCCCCGAGUGCAUUAUAAUCAGGGGCCAGUUUUCUAGCCACUUCCCUUUUUUUACAUCUUCACUCGGGGAGACGGGGGAGGUUGGAAGGAAGGGUCGACUAUCACUCCCGUGAGGACAG
RNAcentral lists this unclassified non-coding RNA (913 nucleotides) under Leishmania donovani. RNAcentral describes it as "gene:unknown". Lineage: Eukaryota; Euglenozoa; Kinetoplastea; Trypanosomatida; Trypanosomatidae. The record is from RNAcentral.